CAGUUACUCCCUCCAUCCGAAAUUACUUGUCAUAAAAAUGGUUAGAAAUGGAUGUAUCUAGAGCUAAAUUAUGUCUAGAUACAUUCAUUUAUUCGACAAGUAUUUCCGGACGGAGAGAGUAUGUU
Triticum aestivum (bread wheat) is the source of this 125-nucleotide non-coding RNA. The record is from Rfam. NCBI's taxonomy places the organism in Eukaryota, Viridiplantae, Streptophyta, Magnoliopsida, Poales, Poaceae.